This 309-nucleotide unclassified non-coding RNA is filed under the name Hevea brasiliensis (rubber tree). The record is from RNAcentral. Lineage: Eukaryota; Viridiplantae; Streptophyta; Magnoliopsida; Malpighiales; Euphorbiaceae.
UGUUGCUGCAAAGGGGUUGUGAAAGGCUGGUAUUGAUUAGUGCAUUUUGAGCUAAAAAUCAUGUUCCAUUUCUUAUGACUCACAUGGGUCUGCCUCUACUAUAAUCAUUGAAACAAAAUGCCGGUUCUGGAGGAUAAGUUGGGUUGGUUAAUGAAUAUAUGAGUGGUUGUGGUAUCUCUAAGAGUGCAAUUGAGGUUGUGAUUCUUUUUCAUUAUUUAGCUGCUUGCAAAAUGAAAGACCCAUUUGUUUCAUGGCAAUUAUGGUAGCAUUUAACCUUACUUUUUCAACUGCUUAAAUCAGCUUUCAAAG